CACAGAAGAGAAGUCACAGGAGGUUUCAGCGGCAGACUGUCCUGGCAACCAGGAGUCAGAACUUACUGACAUGCAACCACGUCGUUCACAGAGGGAGAG
Molecule: long non-coding RNA, 99 nt
Organism: Etheostoma spectabile (orangethroat darter)
Lineage: Eukaryota; Metazoa; Chordata; Actinopteri; Perciformes; Percidae
Exons: 3
Source: RefSeq, a predicted model, not a curated record